This 1549-nucleotide long non-coding RNA is filed under the name Phasianus colchicus (ring-necked pheasant). RNAcentral's name for it is "lncRNA (ENSPCLG00000022021.1)". The record is from RNAcentral. Lineage: Eukaryota; Metazoa; Chordata; Aves; Galliformes; Phasianidae.
AAAAAAGAGUAGAGGUAGGCAAUUCAUCCUUGCUAGUAACACUUGUGGUUUUUAAUAAUAUGUCAUUUAGGUGUCUGUUUCCUGAUAUUAUUUUCAAAAACAUUGGAGAAUUCUGCACUAUAGUACAAUAUCAUGGGGAUUUGUUUGACUCGUGUUAGAAUAAGAGGGAGUGCCUCUAUUUGUAUUAGCUGGAGCAGGAUUGUGAACUAUUAUCUUACUUUGUUAUCUGAGCUAGGAGUGUACAAGGAAGUUUCUUCUACUAAUGGUUGAGCUGCUCUUCAGAUAAAGCCCUCCACAGGAUCCCUGUAGCCCUAAUUAAUCAGCUGUUAAAACAGUAGUUGAUAGACAGGCUUGCUUUAAGUUCGAAUUGCCUGCAAUCAGAGAUAACAGGUGAGUCCCAUUUGGCAGUGAGAUAUGAAAGUAGGAGAGUGAUCUGUUAUCAAAAUGAAUAUGGCACUCAAGACAAAAUUGAAGUUUGCAGUAAGAACCAGCAGAAUAAAACAAAGGGGAAUCUUUUUUUAUAUGGGGUGAUCAAAAUGCCUUUAUUUGCUCGCCUAAAGUGCAGCAAACAUCUGCGGCUGCAGCGAGGUCACUGGAGAUGGUGCCCAGCGGCUGCCACCUGGCCCGGCCCAGCUCCAUGCACACAACCGGGGGCUCGCUUCAAAGCACGGCACCUUCCAUCAGGGAGGAGGCCCUGGUCCUGGGUUAAACGCUUCAGAAAGUUUUGCUGAGGCUGUGGCGGGGAGGGGGUGGCGGAGGACCGGGUUCGGAAAUGACAAUGUGACAAGAGAGCGGGAGCGAACCUAUUGAAUUAGAUUUACGCUGUGCUGAAUAUUAUCAUCGAAACGAACAAGCAAAGCUUAUCUGCUCUUUCCUUCUUGAAAGGUUGAAUGAAAUUGAAUUGCCAACCUCUGUAUUUUACCACCGUUUGGCUGCAAUGGCUCAGAGGCAUACAUGAUCGCUUAAAAGGAAGCCAGGUUGAGUUAAACUGCAGAGCGUAUGUAUACGUUUCUGACAGCAACAUCUCAAACACAGUGUGACAUGGCAUAACAUUUAGAGGUAAUUUGAUUACAGGCACUGUGUAAUGCAAAUCAGACUUUCCCAAACAUGUUAAUUUUUUAUCACAAUAGCUCACCAACGUAGUCAAGUUUGCUUUAUUACAAGGUAUUUUUGAGCUACAUUUUUUAUUAUUUUAAGGCAUCGUAGUAUAAUUCUGUGCAUUUGCACGCAGAUUAUAAAGAGCUGAAAGAUGACAGAAUUUACUGGCUUCUGCCUUUCCAAGUUUAUUUUUAAAUGAUGAUAUAAUGAAAACCUUUUUUUUAGUAGAUGUAGAAGAGAAUUGUUUGAAUGUUGCUUUAGGUACAGAAAUUCAGAAAGAAGUUACAGUUCACAUUACAGAUGAAUCUAUUCAGAAAGAAAAGAUGUGCAUUUGUAAAUUUUUUUUAUUUUUCUAUGGGUAAUUUAUCCAUUCAGAAACACAUGAAGCUGACUUGCAAUUAAUGUUUGAUAUUCUGUUGGUAGGUAUGUAGGGUCUGUCACAAUACCUCUG